RNAcentral lists this small nuclear RNA (106 nucleotides) under Macaca nemestrina (pig-tailed macaque). The record is from RNAcentral. Lineage: Eukaryota; Metazoa; Chordata; Mammalia; Primates; Cercopithecidae.
GUGCUCGCUUCAGCAGCACAUAAUAACUAAAAUUGGAAUGAUGAAGAGAUUAGCAUGGCCCGUGCACAAGGAUGACAAGCAAAUUUGUGAAUCAUUCCAUAUUUAA